RNAcentral lists this ribosomal RNA (273 nucleotides) under Triticum aestivum (bread wheat). RNAcentral describes it as "partial small subunit ribosomal RNA". The record is from RNAcentral. Lineage: Eukaryota; Viridiplantae; Streptophyta; Magnoliopsida; Poales; Poaceae.
AUGGAUGAUUACAUCCAGAGGCUUCAAGGGUUGGGCUUGCUGGAUUCGAGGGGGAAUGCAAUCUGCGAGUUCAAUCUGCCCCAUGACAGUGCCGCUCCGGCAGCAGCAACACGUCCAGAAUACCCGACGGUGGUAGAUGUCGAACUGAAGACGGAAUUGAAGAAGAUGAACAAGAACUUCAAGCAACUGAUUGAGUUGAAGAAGCAAUCCAAUCUGAUAGCUUUAGGAAUACUUGCUCUAGGAUUUUUUUACUUGAUGGCCAUCUCUCGUUAG